Molecule: long non-coding RNA, 1007 nt
Organism: Pogonomyrmex barbatus (red harvester ant)
Lineage: Eukaryota; Metazoa; Arthropoda; Insecta; Hymenoptera; Formicidae
Source: RefSeq, a predicted model, not a curated record
ACGAUGCGUCUUCUUGAUACAUUAAAAUUAAUAUAUUUUAUUUUGAAAGCAAGUUUAGAGAGAUAAUAAAGAUAAUAGUUUAAUAAAGUUAUUACACAGAAAAUAUAUUUUGUAAAGGCAAAGAUAAAUAAGGAUUGUUUAAAAUACUUGAGACAAACUGUAGGUUUUCCAGAAAUUAUGUUUCCAUCUACAAAUAUUUAAAAAAUGUGGCAUAAUUUUGUGGAGAAGCUGUUAAUGGAUAUCAAAUUAAUCUAAUAUUUAAUGAAAAUUUUUAUAAAGUUUCUAUUAGUUACCUUAAAAGUGAUUAAUAAUUUUAAAAAAUCUAUGGAAUUAUGUUUAUAAAUUCUGAAAUCAAUCAAUAGUAUGACGUCAAUAAUAUGACGAUAAUUAUGAUCAUAUUUUUAAAUUUCAUAAUAAAAUAUAAAAUUGUAAAAUUAUAUUAUAAAUUUAUACCAGCGUUAUUUUUUAUUUUAAUUUUGAUAUUUUAAAAGAAACAUCCUUAAAAUUCGUUACUCGUACCUGAAAUAUACGUGAAAUAUUCAUAUAUAUCAUUUAUGUAUAUAAAUGAAAUAAAAUGUUUCAAUUCUAUACAUAAUGUAUUUUUAUUAUUUUCAUGUGUGGUUAAAAGAGGUGUAAAAUAAUGGAAAAACAAUGUGGAAAAUGUUAAAAAUAAGAAUAUUAAGAAUAAGUUAAUAAUAAGAGAUAAGAAUAGGAAAUGUAAUUUUUAUUUAUGAUUAUGAAUAAUUAUAAUACACAAAUUCCUGAAUAUAAUGCGUUUUUCCGAAAAUUUUUUUAGUAACUUAUUUAACAUAUAUAAAAGAGCAUGUUUAUGACGCUUAAUGUAUAAAUUAUAUAUGAACUUUAUUUAUUUUUAAUUUAAUUAGCUAUGCUUUAGAAGACAGUGAUUUGUAAAAGAUGCUUUAUAUAUAUAUAUACAAACGAUUUGUUACAUUAAUAAUAAUAUAAGUUAUAAUAAAAAGUAUUUGUGAGUGUAUUGACGUUAUUGC